UUUUCCCCACCUCCUCCCCCUCCGCCGCCUCCUCUUCCUCCACCACCACCAACACUCCCUCCAGGACACCCCUGUCCCCUUGGAGUCCCGGCCCCGCGCCGCCUCUGCAGCGGCCCCCCUGGUCCCCAGGCCGGCUACACCUGAGCCGCCAGGACACACAGAAGCGCCGGCUCGCAGAUUCCUCGCGCGCAGCCGCCGCCGCCGCAGAUCCUCGAGGCCCGACGUCGGGGUUGCUGGGAGCCGCGCGAGGGUAAGCGGGCUGGGCUGGGUCGCGGACAGAACUAACGGAGCCCAGCGGCGCGGCCAGCGGCUUCCGAGAGAACACCCCAGCACACAGAGGUGACAUGCCUUUGGCCUCAAGAAUCCCCAAGCUUCUCACAGCUCUCGGACACUGACACCUGGAUUCCGACUCAAGCUUCAGCUUCCCAGAUCCACAUGAGGCUGGCCGAGGUGGCUGCUGGAGCUCCGGGAAUCUUGACACAAUCCAGACCGCAGAGCAAGGGGUAGAGGAAGGUCAUGUUCUUUCCCUUUAAGGGCACUUCGAGUUACUCUUCCCCUUGAGUCUCAUUGACCAGCACUCAGCCACCUUGUCACAGUGAGCUGCAAGGGAGUCUGGGAACUGGAGGCAAUCCACUCACGACGGAUUCUGUCAAAGGACAGAAAUCAGGAUAUGGACAUGGAAGUAAAUGGCAAGUCUUAGAUGUAACACUCUGUGGCAUAUAAUCCAGAAAACACAAAUUAAAUCAGAAAAGAUCUUUAUUUUUCUAUCAAAAUGGAAAUCCCUGUAAUGAUGCCGAUGGUGUCCUGCACUGAUGCCCAAGUGUCAGUUUCCUGAACUUCGGAGAACUCGACGAUGUGCAUUCAAAAUCAGCUGUGCUUUCCCCGGCUUCCUUACAACCUCACUCCCAGUCCUUACUUCCACUCCUUGAAGCCCCACUAAGGAAAUUGCCCUCCUUGUGCUCAUAGGUGCAAAAACAUGCAUUGUGGUGAUUAAAAGUUGGAAACAGCACAACAGCCAAAAAUCAAGCCAGAGACAGAGAAGUGGGGGAAGUGAACGCAUGACUUGGCAGGCGGGUGACGGUGCCCUGUACACUGACGCAAUACUUUCCAGCAUCGUCUAUAAAUCACAGUUGAAAGGACAGAACCCAGAGACCAUACAGGGCUCCAGUAUGAAGCGGUCAGCAAACUUUUCCUCGCCAGCAAUUACAGAUCCAGAGUGUCAACAAGAUUGUAGAAGGUGUGUUUAAAUCAAGUGUCUUCAAGUCUCCUCCAAGGUGACAGGCGCCCCCAGGAGAGUCUGGGGACUGCGAGACAAGAGCCCGAUGGACGCUUACCCCUCCCACCACCGGCCCCCUCAUGCUCGCUUUUGGAUUCACCAACUCGGGUCCUCUUCUCUUCUUCCAUGGCAGGACUGGAUUCUGCUACUUGGCAGGGGAGCUCAUUAGCGAGUGUCCCCUGUCAGCCUGGGGGACACUGAAGGUCAAGUCCAGGGACAGUGAUAGCAGGAAAGGGCUCUGGAAGGAACUUCUUCUACCUGUCUGUCUUCUAUCUGUCAUUCUUCCCCCAGGAAAGUGUCACCUCACCUAAAAGUCUGUAGACCAGGGUAAUAGCCCAUUCCCAAUCCGGAAAAGCUAACAGGCUGCCUCUGUUGUUUCUUCUCUUCUUUCCAUUUUAGUUUUAAUUGGGGGGGAGGGGUAAGUCCUCACCAGCAGUGCUCAGAGGACCCAGGACUCACAUCCCAGUGAUACUUGUCCAGCCAGCCCUAACGGCUCUGUGCUUGGCCCUGGCUGUGCAAUGCUGUUUAGGCCCAGCAACGCUGUCAACCUCUGGACUAGAUCCCAGAGUACUCAGAAGGCCAGGAGGUGCCAGGAAUCAAUCCAGGGCCUCGUGUAUUCCUGCCCUUUCAUCUCUCUCCCAGGACUGGCCACCCUGAUCUAAGGCAUUGCCUGUGGUCUAGCAACUGAGAGAGGUCGGAGAGCCUUGGGGAGGAGAGGGGAGUCUGCCAAUUCUGGAGUUUUCCAAAAUGAAACCUUCCACUUCUUUCUAGAUUCUCAGGCCCUAGACUGAAAUGUUAUAGGGUUAGGUUGCCCAACCCUAUCCCAGUUUAGAAAUUAUUUAUAAAUUGUUUCGGAGUUUAAACAAAAACAGAUUUCGGUGUUCUGCAGCUUUUAAGGGCAUAUAUAUAUAUAUAUAUAUAUAUAUAUAUAUAUAUAUAUAUAUUAUUGAAUUACCAUGAGAUACAGUUACAAGCUUUCAUGUUUGAGUUUCAAUCAUACAAUGAUCAAGCACCCAUCCCUCCACCAGUGCACAUUCUCCACCACCAAUGUCCCCAGUAAACUCUCCCCCUAUCCAGCCCUCCUUCUGCCUUCAUGGUGGACAAUUUCCCCCAUACUCUCUCUCUACUUUGGGGCAUUAUGGUUUGCAAUACAGAUAUUGAGAGGUUAUCACGUUUGGUCCUUUAUCUACUUUCUGCACACAUCUCCCAUCCCAAGUGAUUCCUCCAACCAUCAUUGGCUGAGUGAUCCCUUCUCUAUUCCAGCUGCCUUCUUCCCCAGCUCAUGAGAUAGGCUUCCAACUACGGGGCAAUAUUCCUGGCCUUUGUGUGUACUGUCCUUGGGUAUCAGUCUCAUGUUAUUUUAUAUUCCACAAAUGAGUGCAGUCUUAAGGGCACACUUUUACUCAGUCUGCAAAGGUGCUGUGAGCAGUGAGAGCAGAGCCCCAGCAUAAUAAUACAGAGAUGUAUGACCCCAUGAUCUCAGCUUUUACCAGCUUCUCCAGGUAGAUGCAGAGAGUCCUAGUUGGGGGAAAUAUAGAGCAACUACAGGACUGGCUUUCUUGCUGGCUUUCAAUCUGACCUCCUUCUGGGUUCCUAUUUAUACUGCCACAAAAAUGAAUCAUGUGGCUGGAAGGCAUAAUAAACCACUUUCAAAUCAUGCCCUCAUUCCAGUCUGUUGGUAGAUGCUUCCAGAGAGCUGUGUUGAGAAGAUGAUAGAGGGUUGGCGGGAAAGAAGGCUGGGAUCGAUUAGUAAUGUCUGCUGCGGACACAGGAAGGAAGACAAUGACACACUUACUCCUCCUCUAUUUGCCACUCCAGCCACAGACAUCUGGAGUUUCCUUUGAUUGUAUGUGUUCAUGAUUCCUCUCGCCUUCCCCACAGUCAAUCUUCAGUUGCUUGUAGGACAGAACCAUCAGCUUCAGAGGAACUGAGACCUGCACAGGCCAGCUGUUCCCGAGACCAGAAAUCAGAUGUAAAGCGUUUUUCCCCAGGAGUGCUGAGCUGAAUCCACAGGACACAAAGCCUGGCCCAUGUGGAGAUGGCCCCCUCCAGGAGUCCCCUCCCAAGAGACCAGGCAGGAUCUGGCCUCUGCACAAAGGAAUACUGACAAAAAGGAAAACACCGUAUGAAAAAGCGGGCUGCAGAGACCUGCAGGGAACAUGGGUCUCCCUGUCCAUAAGGCAGAAAUAAGUGGCUUGUCAUAUGUGACCACAUAUGUCUGGGGCCUGCUCCCAGCACUCCAAGUUGAAUGAGGGUGAUCCCACGUCCAUUCCUCUCUUUGGGGCACUGAGCCUAGAGAUAUUCUCUGUUCUGAACUCAGGUCUCCCCUUUGCAAGGCAGAAGCCUGGAUCUCACCACCUGGCCGUAACUGGUCAGUCCCAACAUCACGAUUCACUGGUUCUCAUUCCCGAGAUGUCUGCCUAAGAGUGGGUGGGUGCAAGUGCACGUGUGUGUGUGUGUGUGUGUGUGUGUGUGAGUGUGUGUACUCGCCUUUCUGAGCUGGGAAAAAUCCAUAUUCUCUCUCUUCUGACCGAAUUAAUCAAAUAAAUCUUCUGUAAGGAGCUGCUAAAUGAGUCACAGAUGGCUCUGCCCUUUUACAGGUUGCAGAAAGCACCCGUUACAGUUCUUUUAAUUUAUCAGAGAAAGAAAAAAAAAGGAUGCCCCAGUGCACCCCUUCCCGCUCGCAAUAAUAAUCAGAACCAGCCUAUUUUCCAAGGGUCCGAGACUCAUUUUCAAAAAAUGUGUCUCAAUAGAUGGAACAGCGGGGAGACUAUUUUGCCAAGUUCCAACCUCCAGCUCAGCAAAGGUGCCCUGGCUGGGGAGAGUGUUUAUAAAACCACAUUUAAUAAAAGAGAGUGUUCUAUUAAGUAUGUUUGCGAGUGUAUUUAAGCAUAUGGUUUCCAUAUCAGGCGUAAA
Sorex araneus (European shrew) is the source of this 4192-nucleotide long non-coding RNA. RefSeq lists it as uncharacterized. The transcript has 4 exons. The record is from RefSeq and is a predicted model, not a curated record. Lineage: Eukaryota; Metazoa; Chordata; Mammalia; Eulipotyphla; Soricidae.